UAAAUGGGUGUCUACAUAAGGGUUGUUCAAAAAUGAUGAGGAGCAAUCUUUUUUCUUCUUUUGGCCACAUAGCUUAUCAAGUUUAUAUUGGUAGAUUUUGUGGUCAUUCGCUUCUUAUUUAUGCAAUUAGUUUGUUUAUUACCUAUGUUCAUUGUUUGGUUUUUUUAGCUAUCUUGAAUUCUAAAUCAUUGUAAUAUCAAUUUGCCAAAAACCUAUUCUAGUUGAAAUGCUGUGUUGGCUUGACUUAGUUACCAUUUUUUGGUAAUCUGAUGAAAUUUGAACUUUUUUUGUUGAUGUUAAAGUGAAACAAAUGUAAAAAACAUGAGAAGAGUAAUUUUAACUUUUCCAUAAGCAAAGAUAUAUCCAGGAGCUGACCCUUUUCUCAAGUUUGGGCCUCGACCUUAAACAACAAUUUGCAGUUCUCUCAAAUUCCUUCCCCCCUCUUCCUAGUUAUGAUAAAGUCUAAUAUCCUUUUAACUUCACUUAUCUAUUUAUUUAGCAUCCUUCUACAUGACUAGCUUGGGGUUAUGGAUUUUCUCCUUAUAUUUACUAGUUUAUUAUUAACUGAAUCUUUUUAUUCCUUUAUUGUAUUUCUCUGCUUAUAUUAACUUUAAGCAAUGCUUUAGCCCCUUUCUGUAGUAGUGGCUAGUUGCAAUGAUGCGAUAUGGAUGCUUGGUUGUUUUGGAAGUAAUGCUAAUUAGUUAUGCAACCACUUUUAUGUUAGGCAAACCUAUGGUUGUAACCUGCCCUUCUGUGUCUACUCUAAAGAUCAAAUCCUAUCAAUACUUCAAGAGAGGUUCUUGAUACUUCCAUAUAUUGUCUUUCAGCAAUAAACAUUACAACUUUAUGCCAAAAAAGUCGCAGCUACCUUUGGAGGUAUGCAGAAGGCUCUUUACGUUUGUAGAAGCAGAAUUAAGAGAAUGUGCAAGCAACCUGAGUUUGCCAUUAGUGGAGGGGGAGUUCAUUAGUUAGUAGAUACCUCCGGCUCUUGAAAUCUUCCAAUCAUAAGAAAAUAAUACUUAAAAUUUUUAUGGUGGAAAGAAGGAUACAAUUGUUGGGGAGGGUCUCUUCAACCUAGGCCAAUCUCAAAUUGAUAAAUCAAAGAGAGUAACACUACAGGUUGAUGAAGCCGGCAUCUCUUUUGCACUAUAGGUACAAAUUCGUCAUUUGAGAAAGGUAGACAACAUUUUAUCUUCUUGAGUUUUAAUUUGUUUCUUGUUGUUAUCUAUUUACUUGGAAUAGGGAAUUUGAAAAAGUUUUGUGCGUGCUUACAAUGAGAUUUAGGUUGUUGGACAUCUAUCUUAUUUGUUGCCAAAUAAUGAAAGUUGAUGUUAAAAUCUAUACCCAGAGUAUCUAAUUGCUUUAAUAUGUUGCUUUAAAUUAGAGUAUCUUAUAAUCUAAUGUUCUUCUACUUUUCUUAUUUUAGAAUUAGCAAACUUGUUAGAACAUCUUUUUUGCUAGAGCAAAAAUUAGGAUAAAGGAGCUUUCUUUAUGUAAA
Molecule: non-coding RNA, 1498 nt
Organism: Theobroma cacao (cacao)
Lineage: Eukaryota; Viridiplantae; Streptophyta; Magnoliopsida; Malvales; Malvaceae
Source: RefSeq, a predicted model, not a curated record